AAGUCGUAACAAGGUUUCCGUAGGUGAACCUGCGGAAGGAUCAUUACAGAGUUCCUGCCCUCACGGGUAGAAACCCCACCCUUGUAUAUUAUAUAUUGUUGCUUUGGCGGGCCGCCCUCACAGGCACCGGCUCACGCUGGCUCGCGCCCGCCGAAGGACCCCAAACUCUGAAGUAUAGUGUCGUCUGAGUACUAUUUAAUAGUUAAAACUUUCAACAACGGAUCUCUUGGUUCUG
RNAcentral lists this unclassified non-coding RNA (235 nucleotides) under Roesleria subterranea. RNAcentral's name for it is "partial internal transcribed spacer region". The stretch from base 1 to 46 matches the Rfam family "Eukaryotic small subunit ribosomal RNA", at positions 1786 to 1831 of the family's 1831-position model. The record is from RNAcentral. Lineage: Eukaryota; Fungi; Ascomycota; Leotiomycetes; Helotiales. RNAcentral also lists the same sequence under 2 other names.